This 495-nucleotide ribosomal RNA is filed under the name uncultured Desulfobulbus sp. RNAcentral's name for it is "bacterial SSU rRNA". It matches the Rfam family "Bacterial small subunit ribosomal RNA", at positions 894 to 1382 of the family's 1533-position model. The record is from RNAcentral. Lineage: Bacteria; Pseudomonadati; Thermodesulfobacteriota; Desulfobulbia; Desulfobulbales; Desulfobulbaceae.
AGAAACUACAAAGGAAGUUGACGGGGCCCGGCACAAGCGGUGGAGUAUGUGGUUUAAUUCGAUGCAACGCGAAGAACCUUACCUGGUCUUGACAUCCCGGAGACCCUUAGGAAACUAGGGGGUGCUUCCAUCUGGAAGAAUCUGGAGACAGGUGCUGCAUGGCUGUCGUCAGCUCGUGUCGUGAGAUGUUGGGUUAAGUCCCGCAACGAGCGCAACCCUUGCCUUUAGUUGCCAGCAGUUCGGCUGGGCACUCUAAAGGGACUGCCGGUGUUAAACCGGAGGAAGGUGGGGAUGACGUCAAGUCCUCAUGGCCUUUAUGACCAGGGCUACACACGUACUACAAUGGCCGAUACAAAGGGCAGCGACACUGCGAGGUGAAGCCAAUCCCGUAAAAUCGGUCUCAGUCCGGAUUGAAGUCUGCAACUCGACUCCAUGAAGUUGGAAUCGCUAGUAAUCGUGGAUCAGCAUGCCACGGUGAAUACGUUCCCGGGCCUU